CGGGGUGCAGCAGGCGCGAAAACUCUACAAUGCAGGCAACUGCGAUAGGGGGACAUCGAGUGGCAUCCACCUUGGGUGCCUGUCCAACCGUCUAAAAAACGGUUGUUAGCAAGGGCCGGGUAAGACCGGUGCCAGCCGCCGCGGUAAUACCGGCGGCUCGAGUGGUGGCCGAUAUUAUUGAGUCUAAAGGGUCCGUAGCCGGCUUUGCAAGUCCCCUGGGAAAUCCAGCGGCUUAACCGUUGGGCUUUCAUGGGAUACUACAUUGCUUGGGACUGGGAGAGGUAGGAGGUACUCGGGGGGUAGGGGUGAAAUCCUGUAAUCCUCCGGGAACCACCGGUGGCGAAGGCGUCCUACCAGAACAGGUCCGACGGUGAGGGACGAAAGCUAGGGGCACGAACCGGAUUAGAUACCCGGGUAGUCCUAGCCGUAAACGAUGCCCGCUAGGUGUCACGACGGUCGUGAAUCGUCGUGGUGCCGUAGGGAAGCCGCGAAGCGGGCCACUUGGGAAGUACGGCCGCAAGGCUGAAACUUAAAGGAAUUGGCGGGGGAGCAC
This 553-nucleotide ribosomal RNA is filed under the name uncultured archaeon. RNAcentral describes it as "bacterial SSU rRNA". It matches the Rfam family "Archaeal small subunit ribosomal RNA", at positions 326 to 879 of the family's 1478-position model. The record is from RNAcentral.